GCGGCGAGCGAACGGGGAGCAGCCCAGAGCCUGAAUCAGUGUGUGUGUUAGUGGAAGCGUCUGGAAAGGCGCGCGAUACAGGGUGACAGCCCCGUACACAAAAAUGCACAUGCUGUGAGCUCGAUGAGUAGGGCGGGACACGUGGUAUCCUGUCUGAAUAUGGGGGGACCAUCCUCCAAGGCUAAAUACUCCUGACUGACCGAUAGUGAACCAGUACCGUGAGGGAAAGGCGAAAAGAACCCCGGCGAGGGGAGUGAAAAAGAACCUGAAACCGUGUACGUACAAGCAGUGGGAGCACGCUUAGGCGUGUGACUGCGUACCUUUUGUAUAAUGGGUCAGCGACUUAUAUUCUGUAGCAAGGUUAACCGAAUAGGGGAGCCGAAGGGAAACCGAGUCUUAACUGGGCGUUAAGUUGCAGGGUAUAGACCCGAAACCCGGUGAUCUAGCCAUGGGCAGGUUGAAGGUUGGGUAACACUAACUGGAGGACCGAACCGACUAAUGUUGAAAAAUUAGCGGAUGACUUGUGGCUGGGGGUGAAAGGCCAAUCAAACCGGGAGAUAGCUGGUUCUCCCCGAAAGCUAUUUAGGUAGCGCCUCGUGAAUUCAUCUCCGGGGGUAGAGCACUGUUUCGGCAAGGGGGUCAUCCCGACUUACCAACCCGAUGCAAACUGCGAAUACCGGAGAAUGUUAUCACGGGAGACACACGGCGGGUGCUAACGUCCGUCGUGAAGAGGGAAACAACCCAGACCGCCAGCUAAGGUCCCAAAGUCAUGGUUAAGUGGGAAACGAUGUGGGAAGGCCCAGACAGCCAGGAUGUUGGCUUAGAAGCAGCCAUCAUUUAAAGAAAGCGUAAUAGCUCACUGGUCGAGUCGGCCUGCGCGGAAGAUGUAACGGGGCUAAACCAUGCACCGAAGCUGCGGCAGCGACGCUUAUGCGUUGUUGGGUAGGGGAGCGUUCUGUAAGCCUGUGAAGGUGUGCUGUGAGGCAUGCUGGAGGUAUCAGAAGUGCGAAUGCUGACAUAAGUAACGAUAAAGCGGGUGAAAAGCCCGCUCGCCGGAAGACCAAGGGUUCCUGUCCAACGUUAAUCGGGGCAGGGUGAGUCGACCCCUAAGGCGAGGCCGAAAGGCGUAGUCGAUGGGAAAC
This 1142-nucleotide ribosomal RNA is filed under the name Escherichia coli. Its description in RNAcentral is "partial 23S ribosomal RNA". It matches the Rfam family "Bacterial large subunit ribosomal RNA", at positions 246 to 1426 of the family's 2925-position model. The record is from RNAcentral. Lineage: Bacteria; Pseudomonadati; Pseudomonadota; Gammaproteobacteria; Enterobacterales; Enterobacteriaceae.